Long non-coding RNA from Chelonia mydas (Green sea turtle), 1405 nucleotides. RefSeq lists it as uncharacterized. Lineage: Eukaryota; Metazoa; Chordata; Testudines; Cheloniidae. The transcript has 2 exons. The record is from RefSeq and is a predicted model, not a curated record.
CUGGGCUCAGCUGAAUGCAAGAAGGCACAAAGAAGAAGUUCUUCAUCAAUGUGUCUGAAGUAAUUCCAGCAUCUUGCAUCUCAUACCUACAGCAGAAAGUAUAACAGAGGGGGGGGAAAGGCUGAGUGCAACUACCACAGCAAAUAUUGAGAUCAUCAUCUUACCAGUCAUUGAAAGACAUCAUGUAGUAAAUUGGUGGUCUCUGAAAAUCAUUAAAGGCAGACUGUUGACCCAAGGUACCAGAACCCAUAUUAUCAAAGAUCAGCCAGUCUCCGACACUCAACUCAGGAAGAAGACAGUUUUCCACAAUUUGAUCAAGCUCAUCACAGGAUGGACCCCAAAGGCUGCUGGCAAACAGAGGCUCAUCUUCCUUGUAUUUCUACAAAAACAAUCCAGUCAAGUCAGGCUUUAGUUUAAGGCAAAAGAAAGUUUUACAGACACAUUAGAAAAAGAACAUUGAUAUUAAGUCAUCUGAAAAAUUCCUUUCUUCUAGGGAAAAAGUCCACAGAUCCAUUACAAUGGGUCUCAUGCCGGCUUGCAGCUUCUUGGGGCAGAAAAGACUUGUCAAUCAGGCAGUCUGGGAGAGGCCAUACCCCUAAAGACCUAGCCAGUUCAAAAUACUUCCAAAGCUGUUUUGUAGUGCAAAGUCCUUUAAAGGUUAAUUCACAGGUUAGCAGACAAGAUUCAUAAACAUUUUCCGCUGCAGAGCAACUUGAAAUUCUACCCCAAUUAUAUUAUGUCCCUAACUUCAAAUUUCACCCCAAGGAAAUAUAUAUUGUGUCCCCAAAGAAAAUGGAGGCGAGUGUGAUGGUUUAAGCCUUCCUCAGACCACAAUCCUUGUGCUGGGUUGGAUCUGCGGACUUUUAUGACUGGAAGAAAGGAAAUUUUUGAGAAAAGAUAUGGUAGGUUUCCCUAUUCUUUUUCACAGGGAAAGUCCACAGAGCCAUUACAACAGGGUGUCUAAAAGCAGUGCAUUUCCGUGAAGGGAAAACAGGAAGAAUGAGAUGAGUGGCUCUGAAUGAAUGAGCACCAGUUUUUUUGGUGGGGGGCAUGCUUUGCCUGUUCCAUGCAGGCCAAUAAUGUAACAUGACACUCAUAGACCAAGCCCUUGAAGAUGUCCUGUUUGUAAAAAUACUUUUUCAAGGCUAAAGAAGUGUUAACACAUCUGACUAUCCUAUUUUAAUUAUACCUCUCACAUAAUGUAGUUAAGAUUUGAUUUUCUGGACUUGGGUACAGAAUUUUGUCCUUGGGAGCAGAUUCUUUUUGUAGAGGAGACAUAGCUGAGUGGUGGUUGACAACUGAAUUCUACAUGAGACCUAGAAUUUCCCUUGACAGCAUGGAGGCCAUCAUGGCUCACUUCUGCCUUGUUGGUUUGUCCUGGAGAUCCUGGAGAAUACUGUGAUCA